AUAUAAGCAGAAUAUAGAUCUGAAAAAAGGACGCAGGCAUGUAAUCUGAUUGUAGUUGCUUGUGCUCGUGUAACAUUUGAUCGUCAUUUCAAUGCCAUUGGUUUGUGGAGUACGUUGAAUAAGGGUAGGCUUCUUCUGUCGGGCUUAGACUCAAAAGUGCCAUGUUCCUUGUUGCAAAUUUGCUUUCUUUUGUCAUCCUCGUAUAAUGGCUACCCAUCGGUUUGUAA
RNAcentral lists this unclassified non-coding RNA (227 nucleotides) under Hevea brasiliensis (rubber tree). The record is from RNAcentral. Lineage: Eukaryota; Viridiplantae; Streptophyta; Magnoliopsida; Malpighiales; Euphorbiaceae.